GGCCCAGACUCCUACGGGAGGCAGCAGUGGGGAAUAUUGGGCAAUGGGCGCAAGCCUGACCCAGCAACGCCGCGUGAAGGAAGAAGGCUUUCGGGUUGUAAACUUCUUUUGACAGGGAAGAGUAGAAGACGGUACCUGUCGAAUAAGCCACGGCUAACUACGUGCCAGCAGCCGCGGUAAUACGUAGGUGGCAAGCGUUGUCCGGAUUUACUGGGUGUAAAGGGAGCGUAGACGGCCAUGCAAGCCAGGGGUGAAAGCCCGGGGCCCAACCCCGGGACUGCCCUUGGAACUGUGCGGCUAGAGUGCGGGAGGGGCAGGCGGAAUUCCUGGUGUAGCGGUGAAAUGCGUAGAUAUCAGGAGGAACACCGGCGGCGAAGGCGGCCUGCUGGACCGCAACUGACGUUGAGGCCCGAAAGCGUGGGGAGCAAACAGGAUUAGAUACCCGUGUAA
Molecule: ribosomal RNA, 450 nt
Filed under: uncultured bacterium
Lineage: Bacteria
Description: bacterial SSU rRNA
Rfam family: Bacterial small subunit ribosomal RNA
Source: RNAcentral